RNAcentral lists this long non-coding RNA (1668 nucleotides) under Equus caballus (horse). RNAcentral describes it as "lncRNA (ENSECAG00000055845.1)". Lineage: Eukaryota; Metazoa; Chordata; Mammalia; Perissodactyla; Equidae. The record is from RNAcentral.
GGGCUCUCUUUGCAAGAGAUGUUAUUCUUAUCAGCUGCCUCAUGAUCUAUUUUUAUUUCUCCCGCAACUUGUUAAAUACUCCCGGGAGCUGAUGGGGUGAAUGAAGCCUCCACUUUGAUUGAAUUUCUAUGUUUUCAGUUUUAUUAUUUCAAGACACAGUUAAAGGAAGGGACUCUUAGGGGCCUCUUUCUAGAAGGGAGCUCAGCAGUGAGUGCUGCUGGGAGGGGCUGGGGAAGGAGCAUCACCCUGGCUCCCAGCUCCCUGUUAUUUGGUCUCAGAAAAAAGACAAUAAGCUGGUAGGGACACCUUGGAGCUUUGCUUCGGAAGUGCGACUGAGAGUGAAGAGAGCUAAGGGAGACUUUCUGAGAAUUGCCAACGUGGCUCUCCAGAGUGUCUGAAACUGCCCUGCUCACCCCAAAAGCAGACUGAAUCAUAGGAUCUGAGAGAUCUGAUGGGGCUGUGGGGAUGGCUUUGUCCGAGCUCUCUCCAGGUAAUGUAGUGCAGGUGUAAAGAGCAAAUGAUCUGAAGAUGGAAAUCCCUGGAUUGAAAUGAUGCCUCCAUAUUUACCAUGAUAUACUCUUAGGUCAGUUGUUCAACAUUGCUAAGAAGAGCUUUGGUUUCCUUAUCUGCAAAAUGGGAAUACAAAUAUGUGAUUAAGAGACCACACAUGAGAAGCACUCAGCACAGGUAUCUGGCACCCUUCUUCACACCCAGCACUUAAAGCUCAGUUCAUGUCAACCUAGACUUGAACCCAGAUUAGGGGGCAAACAACCUCAUCAGAGCGCUUUGUGUCUUCAUCAGCUAAGCUGGGCCCAGAUGCACUCAGGAACCUAGCAGAGCUCCUUCUGGUUGACUUGGCACCGCAGGAAAACAACGGUGUUGAACACUUCUUUCCCCCAAAGGCUGCAGACACUGCCUUUCACAAUGCGGAGCAGACACCACACAUUCAGACAAGUUCCUAAUUAAUGACGCAUAAUCAGUGUCUUUCAAAUGUGCAUUUGUUAUUCUCUGUCCAACUAAUUAACUGCACUGAACAUUCCAUGGUUGAAGCUGGAGCAUGGGUUAUCUGAAAAGCCCGUUAGAACCAGCCCAGGGUCAGAGCUCAGAAGAUGCAAAAGUUCUGACCAGGUUACCACUGGGCUGACGGAGUCUUAACAUCCCUACUUUCCCUCUCUAAAGCUCUCUGUAAGUAGGACCACAGACACUUUCUACCUCUUAAGGUUAUUAUAACCGGGGCACUCAUGAUCAUCUAAGGGAAAGUGCUGUGAAAGGUGUAGGGAGCUACAGAAAUGCACGUGACGAUCACUCCUGGCAAUCGCUGUAAGGUGGGCAAUCUUUUCUAGGUGGGAAGGGUCAUCAACCUUAGGCAAAAAUGAUGUGUAUAUGUGCCUUCGAAGGUGUAGGCUUUGCACGUAAAAGCUCAUGUGAUCCUCAUGACCACCCAUACCCAUGAGGAAAAUAAAACUCCUUUGAGGAGCUCCGAAGGGGCUCACCCAGAUUCUGAAUGGCUGCGUCACAACAUGAAUCCGGGUUGAUCUGAUUCAGAAAACCCAGGAUUCAUUCUCCUUCCUCUCCCAUGCAAAAUAUAAUGUUCCUUGUAUAGCUCCUCUCAGACAGCUCCACCCUUUCUUUUCCAUUUCCUUCUCAUCCCUCCCCCUCUACCUCACC